RNAcentral lists this transfer RNA (88 nucleotides) under Bacillota bacterium. Its description in RNAcentral is "Firmicutes bacterium (gut metagenome) tRNA-Ser". It matches the Rfam family "tRNA". From Rfam's summary of the family: Transfer RNA (tRNA) molecules are approximately 80 nucleotides in length. Their secondary structure includes four short double-helical elements and three loops (D, anti-codon, and T loops). Lineage: Bacteria; Bacillati; Bacillota. The record is from RNAcentral.
GGAGAGUUGUCCGAGUGGUCGAAGGUGCAGCACUCGAAAUGCUGUGUCCUGAAAAGGACCCAGGGUUCGAAUCCCUGACUCUCCGCCA